ACACGAGAGAGGAGGUGGUCCGUAACUUGCUGAGCUACAGGACUCGUGAGGUGGCUGUCCGCUAGCCGCCGUCCAGAUGGGCCGCCCGUUCAGACGAGAGUUCUGAACGACGGCAGAUCGCCCGUCCGUCGUACGGCGGCGAGCGAGAACCGGACAGUCACCCGACCCCCGGGCCGCCGACAUUUGUCCAGUCGGCCCGCGAG
RNAcentral lists this small RNA (203 nucleotides) under Candidatus Blastococcus massiliensis. RNAcentral's name for it is "Actinobacteria sRNA Ms_IGR-5". It matches the Rfam family "Actinobacteria sRNA Ms_IGR-5". The record is from RNAcentral. Lineage: Bacteria; Bacillati; Actinomycetota; Actinomycetes; Geodermatophilales; Geodermatophilaceae.